UUGCUUUGGCAGCACAUAUACCAAAAUCGGAAUGAUACAGAGAAGAUCAGCAUGGCAGCUGCACAAGGAUAUUAACAAAUUUCAUGAAGCAUUUUAUAUAUAU
Molecule: small nuclear RNA, 103 nt
Organism: Gorilla gorilla gorilla (western lowland gorilla)
Lineage: Eukaryota; Metazoa; Chordata; Mammalia; Primates; Hominidae
Source: Ensembl